CUUUUACAAUGAAGAGUUUGAUCCUGGCUCAGGAUGAACGCUAGCUACAGGCUUAACACAUGCAAGUCGAGGGGCAGCGGGGUUGAAGCUUGCUUCAACCGCCGGCGACCGGCGCACGGGUGAGUAACACGUAUCCAACCUGCCGAUAACUCCGGGAUAGCCUUUCGAAAGAAAGAUUAAUACCGGAUGGCAUAGUUUUCCCGCAUGGAAUAACUAUUAAAGAAUUUCGGUUAUCGAUGGGGAUGCGUUCCAUUAGGCAGUUGGCGGGGUAACGGCCCACCAAACCGACGAUGGAUAGGGGUUCUGAGAGGAAGGUCCCCCACAUUGGAACUGAGACACGGUCCAAACUCCUACGGGAGGCAGCAGUGAGGAAUAUUGGUCAAUGGACGAGAGUCUGAACCAGCCAAGUAGCGUGAAGGAUGACUGCCCUAUGGGUUGUAAACUUCUUUUAUACGGGAAUAAAGUUAGCCACGUGUGGUUUUUUGCAUGUACCGUAUGAAUAAGGAUCGGCUAACUCCGUGCCAGCAGCCGCGGUAAUACGGAGGAUCCGAGCGUUAUCCGGAUUUAUUGGGUUUAAAGGGAGCGUAGGCGGGGUAUUAAGUCAGUUGUGAAAGUUUGCGGCUCAACCGUAAAAUUGCAGUUGAUACUGGUAUCCUUGAGUGCAGCAGAGGUGGGCGGAAUUCGUGGUGUAGCGGUGAAAUGCUUAGAUAUCACGAAGAACUCCGAUUGCGAAGGCAGCUCACUGGAGUGUAACUGACGCUGAUGCUCGAAAGUGUGGGUAUCAAACAGGAUUAGAUACCCUGGUAGUCCACACAGUAAACGAUGAAUACUCGCUGUUGGCGAUACAAUGUCAGCGGCCAAGCGAAAGCAUUAAGUAUUCCACCUGGGGAGUACGCCGGCAACGGUGAAACUCAAAGGAAUUGACGGGGGCCCGCACAAGCGGAGGAACAUGUGGUUUAAUUCGAUGAUACGCGAGGAACCUUACCCGGGCUUGAAUUGCAACUGACGGAGCUGGAAACAGUUCUUUCUUCGGACAGUUGUGAAGGUGCUGCAUGGUUGUCGUCAGCUCGUGCCGUGAGGUGUCGGCUUAAGUGCCAUAACGAGCGCAACCCUUAUCGAUAGUUACCAUCAGGUUAUGCUGGGGACUCUAUCGAGACUGCCGUCGUAAGAUGUGAGGAAGGUGGGGAUGACGUCAAAUCAGCACGGCCCUUACGUCCGGGGCUACACACGUGUUACAAUGGGGGGUACAGAAGGCAGCUACACGGCGACGUGAUGCUAAUCCCCAAAACCUCUCUCAGUUCGGAUUGGAGUCUGCAACCCGACUCCAUGAAGCUGGAUUCGCUAGUAAUCGCGCAUCAGCCACGGCGCGGUGAAUACGUUCCCGGGCCUUGUACACACCGCCCGUCAAGCCAUGAAAGCCGGGGGUACCUGAAGUACGUAACCGCAAGGAGCGUCCUAGGGUAAAACUGGUGAUUGGGGCUAAGUCGUAACAAGGUAGCCGUACCGGAAGGUGCGGCUGGAACACCUCCUUUCU
RNAcentral lists this ribosomal RNA (1534 nucleotides) under Bacteroides clarus. Its description in RNAcentral is "bacterial SSU rRNA". It matches the Rfam family "Bacterial small subunit ribosomal RNA". The record is from RNAcentral. Lineage: Bacteria; Pseudomonadati; Bacteroidota; Bacteroidia; Bacteroidales; Bacteroidaceae.